GUUACCAUGGCAUUGCAGAUGUGGCAUCAAGGAGAGGUCACCAGUGCACAACCUGAACGGCAGUAAUUAUUUUAGUAACUCUGCUAGCAGUAGUGGAAUUGAACUGAAAGUGUUUCUGACUGAAAGAGUCAAGCUACAAAAAGCUGUCUACUUCUUCUCUAUUAUUCAUAAGCAACUGGGUUUCCUCCUAAAUGCAGUCAAUUUUGAAACCUCACCUUGUGUGGAGUUGUAGGAGUUAAUGUACAUCUCUAGUUUCAGAAGAAUACUUUGACACUUGUAAGUAUGUUGAAGCGUGCAAAGUAGCUUGCAGUCCUGUUGCGUGUCUUCUGCUGUGCUGUCUGCUCUGUAUUCAGGCUGGCUUGUCUUGCUAAUCACAUCACAUCUGUCAGCUGUCUGUGGGUAGAAACAAAUUGUAAACAAGCUGUCAAGGUGGAGUAGGAUAAUUGUUUAAAAAAAGGGGGGGGGGGGGGGGGAGAAAAAAAAUCAGACCACCUUGAAUAGCUAAAUAGAAAAAUUGAGUGACUAAAUAGGAACUAAAUGUACUUUUUCUUCUACUUUUAGUGCUUGUUUCAUCACAGAUGAUGGUUUUUACUUCAGCAUGUGGUUGUAAAAAUAUUCACCACAUUGGGCGAAUGUAUGGCAAUGCCAGCCCUGCUCCUCCUCAUUGCCUGUAGGAAAGGUUUUACCGCUUCCAAACAAUCUCCCUCCUGUCUUUGCUUUCCAUCAUUAAGACACUGCAGAGGUACAGUAGUUUACAGUGACUACCUGUUCUUAGAAAACACACAUGAGCCAUUUCACCAGCAGUGUUUGUACUGUUCAGACCUUUCAAACUGCCUGACACCUUUGUGCUUCAUUUACCAGGCCUGAAUAAUAGGAGGACUCUAGUAAUGCAAUCACAUACAAUGUAAGUUGGUUACUUGUUAGAAUGUGUCACCAGUAAUCAGGUGCUCAUAUCUGAGUAACUUGAUAAACAUGAAGGAAGUAACAAGGAAACUCCUUUCCCUCAGUUGAAAAAGGUGUUAAUACUCAGAUGCAAUGUUGUAUGUUCAUUUAAGGGUCAUUUUCCUUCCAUCCCUAGUGAAUGGUAUGGUACAAUUUGAGAUGUUUUUUGUGGGGAUAAUAAAUCAGAUCUUCGUGUCUUGAAAAGCUAUUUCAAGUAAUAUAAGGCUCAGGAAAAAAAAAAUCUGGAGUAUAUUCCUUGCAUUACUACAGGCAUAGGGGUAGUAUGAAUUUUGUUUGUGGCUGAGCAAUGAAGCAACUCUUAUUUUUCUAAACCAAAACAAUAUGAUAAAAUUAUUGGUAAAAUGAGAGUUUUUAUGAAAACUACCAUGAUUUUAAAGCAACUUCAGUAAAAGUAUUCCUUACCUUUUGGCCCGUUUGAUGGAUUCCUAGAAUUUUACUGCUUAAAGAAAGUGGUAAAGCCUGUGGAAGUACUCAGUGCUUGCCAUGUUGCAAGGUUGCCUUGGUACCCUAUAGCUUCAACUGUAGCUCAGCUCUCCUCCAGCAAAGGGAGCAUCCUAUUUGCAGUAUGGCUUGCUGCUGGUGUGCUCAGCAUUGUCUCUCUCAGCCUCCUUGUCUGCCUGUUAGAGGGGCCAGAUUCAGCAUCGAUCCACCUGGCAGCAUUGGCCUGCUUCAGUUGUUGCUUGCUGCUCCUUGCUCAGCCAUGCUAUUUGAAUGGGUGAUCUCCAAACUGGCUGCCCCUUGGGAACUCUGAAAAUUACUCUGGUCACUUCAUUUCCUCAAUACAGAAACUAAAUGAAGCAGAGAAGGCAAAUAAGCUCUUGCAUGCAAAGUGGUUUUUGCUGUCGAACCAGAUCCCUAGAGAGGCAUAGUGCCAGAUAAAAUCUGAAAGUCUGGCCUUCUUGUUUUUUGUUUGUUUGUUUGUUUUUGUGUGUGUGGUUUUGUGUUUUGUUUUUGUUGUUGUUGCUGUUGUUGUUUCGUUGGUGGUGGUUUUUUGUUUGUUUUUUUACCCCUAAAGCACUGCCAUGCAUUUCAAGAAGCAUCAUUACAUCUCUUCACUGAUGGGUAGUCUGUUAUGACAAUAAAACUAAACCUGUGGCUGUGAUUGGUUUUGUCUUCCUGAUGUUAUUUUUCAUGGUAACUAGCUGCUUUCUCACUUGCCCAUACAUCAUCUGAACAAACAAAUAGGUUUUGUUGCUGGUAAAUAUGAGGGAACAGACCUUGAGAGACAGGGGAAAGGCAGGUUUAUGCAACAGUCAAGCCCCAGCCAUUAUGUAACGGGGGUGCCCUGACCAGCAUUCUUCACAGGAGGUACUCGGUAUAGUCUUAAGAAUUUCCCCUUGAUGCUUUAAAAUUUCUGUAAAAUGUAUUCUUUUGCAAAUUUGGACUAAUGUGAAAGGACUUUGCAGUGCUUGUGCUGCUUCCCACAGAGUGCAGUAUUUCUGCAGGGAUGAUGUGAAAGACCCACUUUGGGGAAAUCCAACCAGUAACUGCCUGUAGAUCAGAGGCCAAGUUCUUGUAAUGGAGAAACAUUAGAAAGCUGCAACUUCAGCCAAAAUGAGCCUGGUGUAGAACUGGAGUGCUUUGUGUUGUUUCCAGCUGGCACGUACCCCUGCCAGGUCAGUAUGGCUUGUGUCAAGGACCUCUAAGAGGUGCCACAAGUAAUGAAAGGAUGCAGCUGUGGGUACGACAUAUGCUUUGAGCACAAUGAGGUAUAUGGUAUAACUUAAACAUGCAUGAGAUUAUUGCUAGCUUUUUCACGUAGUGGGUUGGGGAUUUUAGGUUUUGGUAUUUUCAAAAGAAAAUAAUGUAUCAUUUUGACUAUUUUUACCGCUCAUAAGAGCAUAAAGCCAUCAUUUAAUUUCUUCUAUGUAUUUUCGACGUAUAUUAGUCUGUGCUGUUCCAUUAGAUAAGACUAACAAUGAUUUGCUAGUGAGAAUUACUGUAUUCCUGGAGACAAACCAAGAGUAUUUUUAACAAGAGGAUAAACUAACGAGACCACCACCAGGAGACAUGGUCACAUGAAAUAUUGCUAUUAAUUUACAGACAUUUUGCAAAGAUUAGACAUUGUAAAACCAGUACUCUUUCCAAGUAGGAUAAGUAUCACUGAAAUUAUAUUUAAUUGUCCACUCUAGACUUUUAUGUCAUUUAGUAUGUCUAGCCAUACUAUUAGUGACUUAUGUAAGGAAAAGCCUGCUGUGACCUCACAAUACACAAACCUCUAGACAAGGCCCUCUCCAUCCUUCUCUCGGGACAGUCUGUUGCGCAGGAAUAAAGGCUUAGCAUAAAAGAAAAUUACUUUUAGCUGAACCGACGGGGGGUGAGGGGGUGGGGGUGAGAUGGAAGCCUAUUUCUAUGUGUAAAAGAGCCCUUGAGGCUGAUGGUCUUGGAGUGGCUGGAUGGGUCUGAUGGCAUGGGGCCCCUUGAGCUCUGCAUCUGACCUACUUUUGAGAAAGCUGUGAAGCUGCCAUUGUGGAAAUGGACCUGCUCUGAGGCUAGGAGGUCUCAGAAAGAGUACUGUUGGGAAUUAAAAUGCUUCCUUUAAAAUAAUUAAACCUCAAGGUUUAGCAGUAACUGCAAAAUGGGUUAAUUCCCAAUUGGAGUUGCCUCUCUGUUGCCUGACCUCUUGAGAGCUGAUCUGCAGAGCUUCCCCCAAACCGCACUAAAUGGACUCCUGAUGGCUUUUGUCCUCCAGCAGGAUUAAAACUGCUGUCCCCAAAUAAAAGCUGUCUUUUUCAGGUAACAAGUGAAGUAGCAAGACUCACUUGUGUGGGAAAGCAUGCUGAUCAGAUGACUCAUCACCCUGGUUUGUGAAAAUGAUCCCUGAGGCCUGCUUACGAAUGCUAAGCAAUGACCAGUGUACCUGUCUGAAGCAAAAUGACCACCAGAACCCUGAGGCGCAUCGCACAGCAUGCCUAAGAGUGAGACCUCGGGGUCACAGCUGCUCCCUGAACAAAAAGUGG
Molecule: long non-coding RNA, 3923 nt
Organism: Oxyura jamaicensis (ruddy duck)
Lineage: Eukaryota; Metazoa; Chordata; Aves; Anseriformes; Anatidae
Exons: 3
Source: RefSeq, a predicted model, not a curated record